Molecule: ribosomal RNA, 1367 nt
Filed under: Bacillus thuringiensis
Lineage: Bacteria; Bacillati; Bacillota; Bacilli; Caryophanales; Bacillaceae
Description: partial 23S ribosomal RNA
Rfam family: Bacterial large subunit ribosomal RNA
Source: RNAcentral
UAUGCUGAGCUGUGAUGGGGAAGCUCCUUAUGGAGCGAAGUCUUUGAUUCCCCGCUGCCAAGAAAAGCUUCUAGCGAGAUAAAAGGUGCCUGUACCGCAAACCGACACAGGUAGGCGAGGAGAGAAUCCUAAGGUGUGCGAGAGAACUCUGGUUAAGGAACUCGGCAAAAUGACCCCGUAACUUCGGGAGAAGGGGUGCUUUCUUAACGGAAAGCCGCAGUGAAUAGGCCCAAGCGACUGUUUAGCAAAAACACAGCUCUCUGCGAAGCCGUAAGGCGAAGUAUAGGGGGUGACACCUGCCCGGUGCUGGAAGGUUAAGGAGAGGGGUUAGCGUAAGCGAAGCUCUGAACUGAAGCCCCAGUAAACGGCGGCCGUAACUAUAACGGUCCUAAGGUAGCGAAAUUCCUUGUCGGGUAAGUUCCGACCCGCACGAAAGGUGUAACGAUUUGGGCACUGUCUCAACCAGAGACUCGGUGAAAUUAUAGUACCUGUGAAGAUGCAGGUUACCCGCGACAGGACGGAAAGACCCCGUGGAGCUUUACUGUAGCCUGAUAUUGAAUUUUGGUACAGUUUGUACAGGAUAGGCGGGAGCCAUUGAAACCGGAGCGCUAGCUUCGGUGGAGGCGCUGGUGGGAUACCGCCCUGACUGUAUUGAAAUUCUAACCUACGGGUCUUAUCGACCCGGGAGACAGUGUCAGGUGGGCAGUUUGACUGGGGCGGUCGCCUCCUAAAGUGUAACGGAGGCGCCCAAAGGUUCCCUCAGAAUGGUUGGAAAUCAUUCGUAGAGUGCAAAGGCAUAAGGGAGCUUGACUGCGAGACCUACAAGUCGAGCAGGGACGAAAGUCGGGCUUAGUGAUCCGGUGGUUCCGCAUGGAAGGGCCAUCGCUCAACGGAUAAAAGCUACCCCGGGGAUAACAGGCUUAUCUCCCCCAAGAGUCCACAUCGACGGGGAGGUUUGGCACCUCGAUGUCGGCUCAUCGCAUCCUGGGGCUGUAGUCGGUCCCAAGGGUUGGGCUGUUCGCCCAUUAAAGCGGUACGCGAGCUGGGUUCAGAACGUCGUGAGACAGUUCGGUCCCUAUCCGUCGUGGGCGUAGGAAAUUUGAGAGGAGCUGUCCUUAGUACGAGAGGACCGGGAUGGACGCACCGCUGGUGUACCAGUUGUUCUGCCAAGGGCAUAGCUGGGUAGCUAUGUGCGGAAGGGAUAAGUGCUGAAAGCAUCUAAGCAUGAAGCCCCCCUCAAGAUGAGAUUUCCCAUAGCGUAAGCUAGUAAGAUCCCUGAAAGAUGAUCAGGUUGAUAGGUUCGAGGUGGAAGCAUGGUGACAUGUGGAGCUGACGAAUACUAAUAGAUCGAGGACUUAACCAUAUAA